RNAcentral lists this ribosomal RNA (1438 nucleotides) under uncultured prokaryote. Its description in RNAcentral is "partial 16S ribosomal RNA". It matches the Rfam family "Bacterial small subunit ribosomal RNA". The record is from RNAcentral.
UUGAUCCUGGCUCAGGAUGAACGCUAGCGGCAGGCCUAACACAUGCAAGUCGAGGGGUAACGAUAGUGCUUGCACUAGGCGACGACCGGCGCACGGGUGAGUAACGCGUAUGCAACCUACCUUUAACUGGGGGAUAGCCCAGGGAAACUUGGAUUAAUACCCCAUAAUAUCUUUUUGUCUCAUGACAUUUUGAUUAAAACUCCGGUGGUUUGAGAUGGGCAUGCGUGACAUUAGCUUGUUGGUGAGGUAACGGCUCACCAAGGCAACGAUGUCUAGGGGGUCUUAAAGGAUGAUCCCCCACACUGGUACUGAGACACGGACCAGACUCCUACGGGAGGCAGCAGUGAGGAAUAUUGGUCAAUGGGCGCAAGCCUGAACCAGCCAUCCCGCGUGUAGGAUGAAAGCCCUAUGGGUUGUAAACUACUUUUUUAUGGGAAGAAAAUUCUGUACGUGUACAGAACUGACGGUACCAUACGAAUAAGCAUCGGCUAACUCCGUGCCAGCAGCCGCGGUAAUACGGUGGAUGCAAGCGUUAUCCGGAUUUAUUAGGUUUAAAGGGUGCGUAGGCGGGACUUUAAGUCAGUGGUGAAAUCCUGCGGCUUAACCGCAGAACUGCCAUUGAAACUAUUGUUCUUGAGUUCAGUUGAGGCAGGCGGAAUGUGUAAUGUAGCGGUGAAAUGCAUAGAUAUUACACAGAACACCGAUUGCGAAGGCAGCUUGCUAUACUGUUACUGACGCUGAUUCACGAAAGCGUGGGGAGCGAACAGGAUUAGAUACCCUGGUAGUCCACGCCGUAAACGAUGCUCACUGGUUGUUGGCGCUACAUUGUCAGCGACUGAGGGAAACCAUUAAGUGAGCCACCUGGGGAGUACGUCGGCAACGAUGAAACUCAAAGGAAUUGACGGGGGCCCGACCAAGCGGUGGAACAUGUGGUUUAAUUCGAUGAUACGCGAGGAACCAUACCUGGGCUUAAAUGCAGCAACACUUCGGUGUUAGAUCAAAGAGAUUCGGGGCAAUUUACAAGGUGCUGCAUGGCUGUCGUCAGCUCGUGCCGUGAGGUGUCGGGUUAAGUCCCAUAACGAGCGCAACCCCUAUCACUAGUUGCCAGCGGAUAAUGCCGGGGACUCUAGUGAGACUGCCACCGUAAGGUGUGAGGAAGGUGGGGAUGACGUCAAGUCAGCACGGCCCUUAUGUCCGGGGCUACACACGUGUUACAAUGGCAAGUACAAAGAGUCGCUACACAGUGAUGUGAUGCUAAUCUCUAAAGCCUGUCCCAGUUCGGAUUGGAGUCUGCAACCCGACUCCAUGAAGUUGGAUUCGCUAGUAAUCGGAUAUCAGCCCGCUACGGUGAAUACGUUCCCGGGCCUUGUACACACCGCCCGUCAAGCCAUGGAAGCCGGGGGUACCUGAAGUCCGUAACCGAAAGGAUCGGCCUAGG